RNAcentral lists this ribosomal RNA (1522 nucleotides) under metagenome. RNAcentral's name for it is "bacterial SSU rRNA". It matches the Rfam family "Bacterial small subunit ribosomal RNA". The record is from RNAcentral.
AGAGUUUGAUCAUGGCUCAGAUUGAACGCUGGCGGCAGGCCUAACACAUGCAAGUCGAACGGUAACAGGAAACAGCUUGCUGUUUCGCUGACGAGUGGCGGACGGGUGAGUAAUGUCUGGGAAACUGCCUGGUGGAGGGGGACAACUACUGGAAACGGUAGCUAAUACCGCAUAACGUCGCAAGACCAAAGAGGGGGACCUUCGGGCCUCUUGCCAUCAGAUGUGCCCAGAUGGGAUUAGCUAGUAGGUGGGGUAACGGCUCACCUAGGCGACGAUCCCUAGCUGGUCUGAGAGGAUGACCAGCCACACUGGAACUGAGACACGGUCCAGACUCCUACGGGAGGCAGCAGUGGGGAAUAUUGCACAAUGGGCGCAAGCCUGAUGCAGCCAUGCCGCGUGUAUGAAGAAGGCCUUCGGGUUGUAAAGUACUUUCAGCGGGGAGGAAGGGAGUAAAGUUAAUACCUUUGCUCAUUGACGUUACCCGCAGAAGAAGCACCGGCUAACUCCGUGCCAGCAGCCGCGGUAAUACGGAGGGUGCAAGCGUUAAUCGGAAUUACUGGGCGUAAAGCGCACGCAGGCGGUUUGUUAAGUCAGAUGUGGAAUCCCCGGGCUAAACCUGGGAACUGCAUCUGAUACUGGCAAGCUUGAGUCUCGUAGAGGGGGGUAGAAUUCCAGGUGUAGCGGUGAAAUGCGUAGAGAUCUGGAGGAAUACCGGUGGCGAAGGCGGCCCCCUGGACGAAGACUGACGCUCAGGUGCGAAAGCGUGGGGAGCAAACAGGAUUAGAUACCCUGGUAGUCCACGCCGUAAACGAUGUCGACUUGGAGGUUGUGCCCUUGAGGCGUGGCUUCCGGAGCUAACGCGUUAAGUCGACCGCCUGGGGAGUACGGCCGCAAGGUUAAAACUCAAAUGAAUUGACGGGGGCCCGCACAAGCGGUGGAGCAUGUGGUUUAAUUCGAUGCAACGCGAAGAACCUUACCUGGUCUUGACAUCCACGGAAGUUUUCAGAGAUGAGAAUGUGCCUUCGGGAACCGUGAGACAGGUGCUGCAUGGCUGUCGUCAGCUCGUGUUGUGAAAUGUUGGGUUAAGUCCCGCAACGAGCGCAACCCUUAUCCUUUGUUGCCAGCGGUCCGGCCGGGAACUCAAAGGAGACUGCCAGUGAUAAACUGGAGGAAGGUGGGGAUGACGUCAAGUCAUCAUGGCCCUUACGACCAGGGCUACACACGUGCUACAAUGGCGCAUACAAAGAGAAGCGACCUCGCGAGAGCAAGCGGACCUCAUAAAGUGCGUCGUAGUCCGGAUUGGAGUCUGCAACUCGACUCCAUGAAGUUGGAAUCGCUAGUAAUCGUGGAUCAGAAUGCCACGGUGAAUACGUUCCCGGGCCUUGUACACACCGCCCGUCACACCAUGGGAGUGGGUUGCAAAAGAAGUAGGUAGCUUAACCUUCGGGAGGGCGCUUACCACUUUGUGAUUCAUGACUGGGGUGAAGUCGUAACAAGGUAACCGUAGGGGAACCUGCGGUUG